GCAGUCGACGAACUCUGGUAUUGAUUGGUGCUUGCAUCAUGAUUUACAUUUGAGUGAGUGGCGAACUGGUGAGUAACACGUGGGAAACCUGCCCAGAAGCGGGGGAUAACACCUGGAAACAGAUGCUAAUACCGCAUAACAACUUGGACCGCAUGGUCCGAGCUUGAAAGAUGGCUUCGGCUAUCACUUUUGGAUGGUCCCGCGGCGUAUUAGCUAGAUGGUGGGGUAACGGCUCACCAUGGCAAUGAUACGUAGCCGACCUGAGAGGGUAAUCGGCCACAUUGGGACUGAGACACGGCCCAAACUCCUACGGGAGGCAGCAGUAGGGAAUCUUCCACAAUGGACGAAAGUCUGAUGGAGCAACGCCGCGUGAGUGAAGAAGGGUUUCGGCUCGUAAAACUCUGUUGUUAAAGAAGAACAUAUCUGAGAGUAACUGUUCAGGUAUUGACGGUAUUUAACCAGAAAGCCACGGCUAACUACGUGCCAGCAGCCGCGGUAAUACGUAGGUGGCAAGCGUUGUCCGGAUUUAUUGGGCGUAAAGCGAGCGCAGGCGGUUUUUUAAGUCUGAUGUGAAAGCCUUCGGCUCAACCGAAGAAGUGCAUCGGAAACUGGGAAACUUGAGUGCAGAAGAGGACAGUGGAACUCCAUGUGUAGCGGUGAAAUGCGUAGAUAUAUGGAAGAACACCAGUGGCGAAGGCGGCUGUCUGGUCUGUAACUGACGCUGAGGCUCGAAAGUAUGGGUAGCAAACAGGAUUAGAUACCCUGGUAGUCCAUACCGUAAACGAUGAAUGCUAAGUGUUGGAGGGUUUCCGCCCUUCAGUGCUGCAGCUAACGCAUUAAGCAUUCCGCCUGGGGAGUACGGCCGCAAGGCUGAAACUCAAAGGAAUUGACGGGGGCCCGCACAAGCGGUGGAGCAUGUGGUUUAAUUCGAAGCUACGCGAAGAACCUUACCAGGUCUUGACAUACUAUGCAAAUCUAAGAGAUUAGACGUUCCCUUCGGGGACAUGGAUACAGGUGGUGCAUGGUUGUCGUCAGCUCGUGUCGUGAGAUGUUGGGUUAAGUCCCGCAACGAGCGCAACCCUUAUUAUCAGUUGCCAGCAUUAAGUUGGGCACUCUGGUGAGACUGCCGGUGACAAACCGGAGGAAGGUGGGGAUGACGUCAAAUCAUCAUGCCCCUUAUGACCUGGGCUACACACGUGCUACAAUGGAUGGUACAACGAGUUGCGAACUCGCGAGAGUAAGCUAAUCUCUUAAAGCCAUUCUCAGUUCGGAUUGUAGGCUGCAACUCGCCUACAUGAAGUCGGAAUCGCUAGUAAUCGCGGAUCAGCAUGCCGCGGUGAAUACGUUCCCGGGCCUUGUACACACCGCCCGUCACACCAUGAGAGUUUGUAACACCCAAAGUCGGU
Molecule: ribosomal RNA, 1406 nt
Filed under: Lactiplantibacillus plantarum
Lineage: Bacteria; Bacillati; Bacillota; Bacilli; Lactobacillales; Lactobacillaceae
Description: bacterial SSU rRNA
Rfam family: Bacterial small subunit ribosomal RNA
Source: RNAcentral